GGAAAUAUGCCUGAAUCAAAGGACCACUUUGAUAGAGUGGAUUAUGAAAGUUAAAAUCUUUCUAUUUCCU
This 70-nucleotide transfer RNA is filed under the name Loxodon macrorhinus (sliteye shark). RNAcentral's name for it is "tRNA-Ile". It matches the Rfam family "tRNA". From Rfam's summary of the family: Transfer RNA (tRNA) molecules are approximately 80 nucleotides in length. Their secondary structure includes four short double-helical elements and three loops (D, anti-codon, and T loops). The record is from RNAcentral. Lineage: Eukaryota; Metazoa; Chordata; Chondrichthyes; Carcharhiniformes; Carcharhinidae.